AACCUUCUGCUGACCAGUGCAGCGCUUUAGCCCACUACACUGCAAAAACAGUCGUGCUCAUGGAGAGCAGCACACAAAUGUUUGGAGCAGACAGAGUGACAGUCAGAUUGUUCCGCACAUGUUCUCCUGCUUUUAUUCAGGGUUGUGUGGAUCAGGAGCAUCAUCAUGGUCUUCCUCAUCCCCUCUGUGUACUCAGACAAUAGCCUCGAUGCCCCUUUCUCAUCCAUGAUCAGAUUCAGUCUGACUGCAGCAGUGAGGGUCGUGAUGGACGGCAGAGACAGGUGAAGGUGGACACGGUGGUCUUCAUCAGAAUAAAGCUGCAGAACUGUCUCAGCUGUGUUGAGAUGCAGUAGAUGUGGGCUCACCGUCUGUAAAUACAUGAUUGUUAGAACAAUGUUUGAAUAAAGCUUUGUUUCAUGUGUC
Sinocyclocheilus rhinocerous is the source of this 423-nucleotide long non-coding RNA. RefSeq lists it as uncharacterized. Lineage: Eukaryota; Metazoa; Chordata; Actinopteri; Cypriniformes; Cyprinidae. The transcript is spliced from 2 exons. The record is from RefSeq and is a predicted model, not a curated record.